This is a long non-coding RNA of Lynx canadensis (Canada lynx), 1460 nucleotides long. RefSeq lists it as uncharacterized. The transcript is spliced from 3 exons. The record is from RefSeq and is a predicted model, not a curated record. Lineage: Eukaryota; Metazoa; Chordata; Mammalia; Carnivora; Felidae.
GCUCUGCCGAUCUGAAAAAUUAUGCACGUGUUAAGUCUGACACGUUCACGAAGCCCUAAUUUCACCUUAACUUAUUUCAGAAUAAUUUUUUUUUGCACGGGUAACGGCAUGAGAUGCUGUUCUGAGUGGCUCGUGGGUGUCAUCCCGCUGAGGCCUCACCCCUGCCCUGGAGGGAGGUACCGAUACCCCGCGUGCGGUGGUGGAGACGCAGGCAGAGCCAGGCUGCGUAGCUGCCCGGGUGGCGAGCGGCGGGUCUGGGGGAAGUGCAGGCGGGGUCUGAGCGUUAACCGCGGCCCCCGCUGCGUGUUCUUGGGGAGGAGGGCGUGUGCGUGCGCAAAGCAGGACGGCACACGGUGAGGGUGCAGUCGGCACCUGGGGGGGUGGGCUUCUGUCACGGGGACGAGGAAGAAAGGCCACGCCGGGCCCGGGAGGAGAGAGGAAAGCAAGCUGGCCAAGAGCUGUGAGCGGCCCCGCGGUAGUGCUGAGGCGGGUCUCCCGGGGAGGCGGGGCGGGCGGGGGACAGUGUUCGCCCGGGGCGCCCGCGGCACAUGGCCAGCGGCCGCCUACCUGAAGGGGCUACAGGGGGCAGGAGGCGAGGGACCCAGCUUCAGACUGCACCGCGGGAGGACGUGGUAGCCGUGGCUCCGUUGUCCCGUGGCCUGUCAGGAGGCCCCACCCUCCCACACCACCUCCCCUCACCAGGGAUCGCAGAGCAAGUCACUCGGCGCCCGGGAUGUGUAUUUUAAAACCUCGGAUCCAAAUUACAGCCUUAAAAUGACUAACGACCUGUGGUUGAAGGGGACGGGCCCUCAGGAGCCGUGUGGUCUCUGUGAUGAGCCGGGAAGGCUGUGUCAGGUGUCUGGGGGCCUGGACGUGGUUACGGAUGCUGGAGCGGUGAACACCGCGUCUGUCAGAGCCCCCGGGUAAUUUAAUCCCGUCAGUGCCUGUUGGAAUUCAGGUGCCGUGUCUGAACAUAGACGUGUCGUUUCUACACGUCGUGUAACGCUGCCUGCAGACGUGUGGUCACGUACGACACAAGUGGCUUGGGGGUAGCCUGGCCACACUUCCUAAUCGCAGCCUCCACGCAGCCUCCGAAUGUUUCGUAAGCCGCAUUUGCGUGUUCUGUGGCUCGUACAGAGUCCCUGACGUACCCACCUGCCUGCGGCUUCACUUAGUAACGGGCACCUGACCAGGGGCAGGGGUGCUCGGGGGCUGAGGACGGGAUGGCAGCUGGGGCCACGCGGGCGCCUCUGUCCCCGCGGCUCAGCCCCGUGUGCGGGCUCCAGGAGGCCUCUACAGCUGCCGGGCUGGGAUUUCCCGGAGCAGGUUGCAGGCGGGCGGGCGGCACGGGGUGGGGGAGGCUGGGGUCACCAGGGGCUCCCCGCUGCCCCGUCCGUUAGUAGCUGUCUUGUGACUUCACUGUUGUUUUCAGUACAGUGUGGACGUUGUCACCACCCUUC